This 431-nucleotide ribosomal RNA is filed under the name uncultured bacterium. Its description in RNAcentral is "bacterial SSU rRNA". It matches the Rfam family "Bacterial small subunit ribosomal RNA", at positions 91 to 509 of the family's 1533-position model. The record is from RNAcentral.
GAGAGUGGCGGACUGGUGAGUAACACGUGGGUGACAUACCUUUCAGACGGGGAUAGCCUUUAGAAAUAAGGGGUAAUACCGGAUACGACCGUAUAUGUCAGAGGUAUACGGGGAAAGGAGCUGCGGCUCCGCUGAAAGAAUGGCUUGCGGCCCAUUUAGCUGGUUGGUGAGGUAACGGCCCACCAAGGCGAUGAUGGGUAUCCGGCCUGAGAGGGUGAACGGACACAUUGGGACUGAGAUACGGCCCAGACUCCUACGGGAGGCAGCAGCUAAGAAUAUUCCGCAAUGGACGGAAGUCUGACGGAGCGACACCGCGUGAAUGAAGAAGGCCGGAAGGUUGUAAAGUGCUUUUGAAUAUGAGGAAUAAGCAUGUCAGGGAAUGGGCGUGCGGUGACAGUAGUAUUUGAAUAAGAGGCGGCUAAUUACGUGCC